This 739-nucleotide ribosomal RNA is filed under the name Aphelenchoides besseyi. RNAcentral's name for it is "eukaryotic LSU rRNA". It matches the Rfam family "Eukaryotic large subunit ribosomal RNA", at positions 381 to 944 of the family's 3401-position model. The record is from RNAcentral. Lineage: Eukaryota; Metazoa; Nematoda; Chromadorea; Rhabditida; Aphelenchoididae.
AAGAGAGUGCAAGAGAACGUGAAACCGACAUAAUGGAAGCGGAUGGAGCCGACGUAUCUGGUGCGUAUUCAAUCGCUCGCGACGGCAAUCGUCUGUUCAGCAUUCCGCAAGGUUGUUGAGCGGGCGUUCGUUUGUCGGCGCGGACGAUGCACUUGCGUACGGAGUGCGCCGAGUGGGUUGACGGUGUCGUCGGAGGCGCGUUUAGAGGACUUGGCGUGGCAACACGUCGAGAACCCUGAGCGUGCGGAUGGCGAGUGUCGUUGGCUUGUUGCUUGUGGGACGGGUGUAUUCGUGGGCGUUCGUUGCGGUGCGGGUUACUCGUGUACGACACAUGUGUCGUGCGCUUGCUUCUCGUAUCGUGUGCGUUCGUCUGCCCUCGUCCUCGACUCGGUGUAUAGUCGGUCACCCAUUUGACCCGUCUUGAAACACGGACCAAGGAGUUUAAGGUGUACGCGAGUCAUUGAGCUUAUUGUCGAAACUCAACGGCGUAAUGAAAGUGAGACUCUUGGAGUCGACGAUGUGAACGGGGCGCGUUUCGACGUUCUUCGUGCAACAUCGCCCCGUGACUUGGACUUGUCCUGUUGCGGAGGUUGAGCGUACGCUUUGAGACCCGAAAGAUGGUGAACUAUGCCCGAACAGGAUGAAGCCAGAGGAAACUCUGGUGGAAGUCCGAAGCGGUUCUGACGUGCAAAUCGAUCGUCUGAUUUGGGUAUAGGGGCGCCAGACUAUUCGACCCAUC